AAAAAUCUUCGGGGCAGGGUGUAAUUCCCGAUCGGCGGUAUAGUCCGCGAGCCAUCAUGGCAGAACCGUUGCAACUACGGUACCGACAGUAAAGUCUGGAAGGAAGGAGAUAAAA
Molecule: non-coding RNA, 115 nt
Filed under: Bacteroidota bacterium
Lineage: Bacteria; Pseudomonadati; Bacteroidota
Description: Bacteroidetes bacterium FMN sequence
Rfam family: FMN riboswitch aptamer (RFN element)
About the family: The RFN element is a highly conserved domain that is found frequently in the 5'-untranslated regions of prokaryotic mRNAs that encode for flavin mononucleotide (FMN) biosynthesis and transport proteins. This element is a metabolite-dependent riboswitch that directly binds FMN in the absence of proteins.
Source: RNAcentral